Long non-coding RNA from Antechinus flavipes (yellow-footed antechinus), 201 nucleotides. RefSeq lists it as uncharacterized. The record is from RefSeq and is a predicted model, not a curated record. Lineage: Eukaryota; Metazoa; Chordata; Mammalia; Dasyuromorphia; Dasyuridae. The transcript has 2 exons.
CUGGAUUUAUCCAUCAGUCUCUGACCUCCUUCUGACUACAAUCAACACCUGCAGACUCAGGACAGCUCAUACUCAGCAGUGAUUUGCUUGCUGGCGCCAUUGAGAGCAGUGCCGCGGAGGAGAGCUGAGGCAGGACAACAUAAAAACCCAGUAUGUAAGUGGGAGUGAGGGGGCAUGAUGGAGGAUAAAAGGGGCAUGAUG